UAAGAGAAUGGAGAGACUGUUCAAAGUGUCUCUGCCAUCGUGUGAACAAUGAGGCAAAACAAAACCAAAUGGGCGAGUCAUCGUUUCGGUCGUCCUUUUGUUUGAUUGGCGAAUCGAUUGUUCCUCGUCUACAU
Gastrolobium bilobum is the source of this 134-nucleotide small nucleolar RNA. RefSeq annotates it as small nucleolar RNA snoR111. NCBI's taxonomy places the organism in Eukaryota, Viridiplantae, Streptophyta, Magnoliopsida, Fabales, Fabaceae. The record is from RefSeq and is a predicted model, not a curated record. The transcript has a single exon.